This 107-nucleotide small nucleolar RNA is filed under the name Brassica napus (rape). RNAcentral's name for it is "Plant small nucleolar RNA R71". It matches the Rfam family "Plant small nucleolar RNA R71". From Rfam's summary of the family: R71 is a member of the C/D box family of snoRNAs containing the C (UGAUGA) and D (CUGA) box motifs. Multiple nearly identical copies of this snoRNA have been identified in Arabidopsis, and it is thought to function as a 2'-O-ribose methylation guide for 18S ribosomal RNA. The record is from Rfam by way of RNAcentral. Lineage: Eukaryota; Viridiplantae; Streptophyta; Magnoliopsida; Brassicales; Brassicaceae.
AAACCAUGGUGUGGGCAUUGAGCUUGGUAGCCCUUGAAUCUCUCCCAGGCUUCACUGAAGCCUUCCAAGUUCUUCUGUUGAAAGAUGGAAAUCUCAUUUCUCAGCUU